GCUAAACGCGAAGAACCUUACCAAGGCUUGACAUAUACCGGAAAAGUUCAGAAAUGUUCUCCCCGCAAGGUCGGUAUACAGGUGGUGCAUGGUUGUCGUCAGCUCGUGCCGUGAGAUGUUGGGUUAAGUCCCGCAACGAGCGCAACCCUCGUUCUAUGUUGCCAGCACGUAAUGGUGGGAACUCAUAGGAGACUGCCGGGGUCAACUCGGAGGAAGGUGGGGAUGACGUCAAAUCAUCAUGCCCCUUAUGUCUUGGGCUUCACGCAUGCUACAAUGGCCGAUACAAAGGGCUGCAAUACCGUAAGGUGGAGCGAAUCCAAAAAGUCGGUCUCAGUUCGGAUUGAGGUCUGCAACUCGACCUCAUGAAGUCGGAGUCGCUAGUAAUCGCAGAUCAGCAACGCUGCGGUGAAUACGUUCCCGGGUCUUGUACACACCG
This 436-nucleotide ribosomal RNA is filed under the name uncultured bacterium. Its description in RNAcentral is "bacterial SSU rRNA". It matches the Rfam family "Bacterial small subunit ribosomal RNA", at positions 954 to 1392 of the family's 1533-position model. The record is from RNAcentral.